This 460-nucleotide ribosomal RNA is filed under the name uncultured bacterium. RNAcentral's name for it is "partial 16S ribosomal RNA". It matches the Rfam family "Bacterial small subunit ribosomal RNA", at positions 338 to 795 of the family's 1533-position model. The record is from RNAcentral.
CCUACGGGAGGCUGCAGUGAGGAAUAUUGGUGAAUGUGCGGGGGGGGGGGGCAGCCAAGUAGCGUGAAGGAUGACUGCCCUAUGGGUUGUAAACUUCUUUUAUAUGGGAAUAAAACGUUCCACGUGUGGGAUUUUGUAUGUACCAUAUGAAUAAGGAUCGGCUAACUCCGUGCCAGCAGCCGCGGUAAUACGGAGGAUCCGAGCGUUAUCCGGAUUUAUUGGGUUUAAAGGGAGCGUAGGUGGAUUGUUAAGUCAGUUGUGAAAGUUUGCGGCUCAACCGUAAAAUUGCAGUUGAAACUGGCAGUCUUGAGUACAGUAGAGGUGGGCGGAAUUCGUGGUGUAGCGGUGAAAUGCUUAGAUAUCACGAAGAACUCCGAUUGCGAAGGCAGUUCACUGGACUGCAACUGACACUGAGGCUCGAAAGUGUGGGUAUCAAACAGGAUUAGAUACCCUUGUAGUC